AAGCAUUUCCCUAUUUAAAACGAGCACCGAGCUUGACGGUUCAACUUAGCAACGAAAGCGAUAAA
Molecule: small RNA, 65 nt
Filed under: Vibrio cholerae O1 biovar El Tor str. N16961
Lineage: Bacteria; Pseudomonadati; Pseudomonadota; Gammaproteobacteria; Vibrionales; Vibrionaceae
Source: RNAcentral